Hermetia illucens (black soldier fly) is the source of this 1045-nucleotide long non-coding RNA. RefSeq lists it as uncharacterized. NCBI's taxonomy places the organism in Eukaryota, Metazoa, Arthropoda, Insecta, Diptera, Stratiomyidae. The record is from RefSeq and is a predicted model, not a curated record. The transcript has 4 exons.
AUCGAUUUUCGAAAGAAAUACAUAUGUGGAGCAACAGUCGUGAAGCGUGACGAGUGUAAAAUGAUUAGUUUACGGCCGAAAAUCGAUUGUUGUUGGGUUUUAUGUUUACCUGACUCGACACCUUCGCGAAGUGGUAAAUCAACUUGUCGGUCCACCAGCAACCGGGCCCGUCAGUCCAUAAACUGAGCCCAAACUGCCAAAAGUUUGCUUCAGCAGUUACUUUCCGUGGCUGCCUAGUUGGAUUGAGCUUAUUCAUGAGUUAGUAUGGCCAGACAAGUUAAAAGAGUCGGUUGUAGCUCUGCAGUACCGGCAGCUGUAGGAGGCUUAAAAAUUAUUAAUUCAGGAAGUGUUUCUAUUAUUUAUUAAUUGGUUUGUUGGCAAAGCCGAUAUGUGGUUAAUAGGCAAUUUUGUAUGGUGGAGAACGACUAUAAUGGGCGUAGUGAAUUUUUGGACAUAAUCUAUUUUGGUGGUUCGCAGAAUGACAUGAAAAGAAAGCAACUCUCUAUCGGAGGAUAAGAAUUGCGAAGCAAUAAUCGAACCCUAUCGGAGCAAGAAAAAAUUCAAGACGAACUGUUAUAUUUUGAUUUAACUAAUUUUAAGCAAGUUCGUGUCCGGUUCUCCCCUCAGGUGGACAUCAAUGUCUGGUGUGCGUCCAUUACUGUCAAUAAUUUGAUGCGAGGAGAUCAGUUUCUUCCUACCCGCUCAGUACGUUAUGAGAGACGAUCAGCCAGUUGCACGCAAGAAACAUAAUUAGUAGCUCUGGUUAAGGCCACUGAGAUCCCAUUGAGAAUUAAAGCAAUUGUAUAAGAUGCUGAUGUAUUUGCUAAAUGCAUUGAAACUGAAUGAGAACGUGAGACACACUUCAGGAAUAAAUCGAAAGAUCCAAAUGUGUUGAUAAGGACCAGUUAAAAAAGGAUCAAAAGGACGGAGACUGACCCAUGACUGCCCAAGCAAUCGAAAUAUUGCACCGACCGUUUUCUAUCAGACGAUUUUAACAUAGCAUUUUCUCUCGCGACAUCAACGAGUUUAUCUUUCCAGCUUUCGU